RNAcentral lists this ribosomal RNA (482 nucleotides) under uncultured fungus. Its description in RNAcentral is "eukaryotic LSU rRNA". The stretch from base 65 to 219 matches the Rfam family "5.8S ribosomal RNA". Lineage: Eukaryota; Fungi. The record is from RNAcentral.
AGAAUGUCAUUAUGAUUAUCGUCUGCUUCCUCGUGGAGUUGGGCUGAUAAGAAAAACAAUAUACAACUUUCAGCAACGGAUCUCUUGGCUCUCGCAUCGAUGAAGAACGCAGCGAAUUGCGAUAUGUAAUGUGAAUUGCAGAUUUUCAGUGAAUCAUCGAAUCUUUGAACGCACCUUGCGCUCCUUGGUAUUCCGAGGAGCAUGCCUGUUUGAGUGUCAUUAAAUUCUCAACCCCAUCAAUUUGUUUUGAUUGUGGGCUUGGAUUGUGGGGGUUUGCUGGUGGACUCUUGUUCGUCGGCUCCUCUGAAAUGUAUUAGCAAAGGUUGAUGUGCGAACCAGUGUCUCGGUGUGAUAAUGAUCAUCGUGCCUGACGUGCAGUGUUCCUGUGCUUACAGUCGUCGUCGCAAGACAACAUUUUGAACCUUUGACCUCAAAUCAGGUAGGAUUACCCGCUGAACUUAAGCAUAUCAAUAAGCGGAGGA